RNAcentral lists this long non-coding RNA (1945 nucleotides) under Rattus norvegicus (Norway rat). RNAcentral describes it as "long non-coding RNA NONRATT027255". Lineage: Eukaryota; Metazoa; Chordata; Mammalia; Rodentia; Muridae. The record is from RNAcentral.
ACCCUCUAAAAUCCAGAUAUGAUUUUCAGAUUUGCCGAACAUUUAGAAUGCAUUAAAUUCUCAGACUUUUAUUCUCUUAGACACCUUCUAUGCUCUUAGUGUCUUUGACCACAGCUGUCAACUUGGAAAACCACCCACGUGAAAUCAUCAAACAUCUAUAUUUUGUAGGACAAUUUCGAUAUGAUAUGACAUGACAUGACGUGACCUGACAUGUUAAAAUAGACGUAUUAAGCAAAUGUACUUGCUACAGCAAUGUUAGCUUUCUUUCCAAACGCGUUCCAAAUCCGAUACAGGUGUAUUUCAGUUGGGAACAUUGGGUGAAGAAGGUCACGACCAUGCCUGAAAUCUAGCUGGGUGGCUAACGUGCAGGAGAAUGAAGAAUGCAUCAUUGUGUAUCCAUGUAAGCACAAUCUGUUGAAAAUGAUGUCAAAAGGACUCGCUGUCGCGGUCAGUGGAUAUGGUUCAGUGGUGGAGCACCGGCCUGGAAAAGAUCCCAUCUUAAUAUUUUUCUUCUGUGUAAACAUCUGUAAUAAUUUCAAUGGUCAUACCUACACUCAGUCAUCCUCUAAAACAUGGCUUUGAAUGUACAUGUAGAAGGUCUAAAUGAAAGGUAUUUCCAGGAGAAAACCCACCAGAAUCUUUUCAACCGUUUACCAAUGAAACACACUCCAGGAUCCAGUCCUAACACACGUCACUCACUCUAACGUGGGAGACCAGUGAAAGCACAGAAUUGAUGGGUCUUGGCUGUCCGCUAGACAGAGAGAAAGACUGGGGGGAAAACUGACGCUUGGCCCAUUUGGUUUUUAAGAGCAAUGUAUGGUUAAUAACAGUUCAAAAGUAGCUACUGCCUAUAAAAGACUCAGAAUUGUUCUCUGGGUUAAUUUUUAACACCCUUCGGCCUAUUAAUUUCUACCAGUCCCAGCCUCGAGCACAGCAAGGUUCAUUCAGUUCUCCAAGGCGCCCCGUAGCGCUGCCCCCUUGGGAAACAGCAGUUACAAAUGCCACACAGCCAACCAACUGCUCAUCUCUGCCUUGUGUGCUGUUUGGGGAAGAAAAUACACACGUGCUGAUAAUCUUCAGAGAGAUGCUUCACAAAUAUUCACGUCCAGAACUACCAGGAAGUAUUUUAUCAUUACCAUAAUGUGCUUGUGAGGUCAGAAGAGUAUACUUCUCUAAAUCUUCACACGUGUACAGUACAGUCUCUCACACUUCAGUAAUUCAGUCAACGGGCCUUCGUUGACUCUGUUUACAGGUAAUAUUCAUAUUCUAGACAGUUAGGCUCACAGGAUUGAGUUUUGUCCUAUCCAUAUAAAUAAGGAACGGACUACUGUGCAGAUAAUCAGUACUCAAAGUUACGAGCCAACACUUUAUAAAGUUUUAAGAUUUUGCUAAAUUCAACAUCCCAUUUCACUUAAAGUCUAGACAAUAUACUAUUGACUCUAGCCAAAGUAGAAAUCCAUGACCUACACCCAUGUCCAGAUUCUCUGGUGGCUCCUGCACUAUGCCUCACUUGAUGUUACGAUUCUGUUUGUGCUAAGUGUUCCAAUUUCUAUUUAGGAACUCUAAAUACACAUCUCUAUCCGAUCAGGAGUUUCUCGCUGUUAGAGGUGUACGUAUUUUGAACUGUAUUUAGUUUUCUAGUGCAUGUUUCCUACUGUUUAAUACUUGACAAACCUUGGCGAAUUUAGUCUUUCCAUUCCUACCUGUGACAUACAGAAUCUCUCUUGAAAACUGCCACUGUCCCAUUUACCAAAUCAUGCUAGCCUACACUGUAUCAAAAGUACGGUAUAUUUUAUGGAGACUUAGUGAUACACACGUCAAUGUUUUUUAGGUUAUUUUAUCGAACUUCAGUAUUUACAUGAAGUUAUAAUCCUUUUUUUUUUAAAGAAAGUGUCAGUGCCAGACCUGUAUAAGAAAACAAUCAAAUAAAAGUAAAGAUAACUCA